Molecule: ribosomal RNA, 433 nt
Filed under: uncultured bacterium
Lineage: Bacteria
Description: partial 16S ribosomal RNA
Rfam family: Bacterial small subunit ribosomal RNA
Source: RNAcentral
AACGAACGCUGGCGGCAUGCCUAACACAUGCAAGUCGAACGAGACCUUCGGGUCUAGUGGCGCACGGGUGCGUAACGCGUGGGAACCUGCCCUUAGGUUCGGAAUAACUCCCCGAAAGGGGUGCUAAUACCGGAUAAUGUCUUCGGACCAAAGAUUUAUCGCCUUUGGAUGGGCCCGCGUUGGAUUAGCUAGUUGGUAGGGUAAAAGCCUACCAAGGCGUCGAUCCAUAGCUGGUCUGAGAGGAUGAUCAGCCACACUGGGCCUGAGACACGGCCCAGACUCCUACGGGAGGCAGCAGUGGGGAAUAUUGGAAAGUGGGCGAAAGCCUGAUCCAGCAAUGCCGCGUGAGUGAUGAAGGCCUUAGGGUUGUAAAGCUCUUUUACCCGGGAUGAUAAUGACAGUACCGGGAGAAUAAGCACCGGCUAACUCCGUG